CCUACGGGCGGCAGCAGUGAGGAAUAUUGGUCAAUGGACGAGAGUCUGAACCAGCCAAGUAGCGUGAGGGAAGACUGUCCUGCGGGUUGUAAACCUCUUUUAUAUGGGAAUAAAAUGUUCGACUUGUGGGAUGUUGUAUGUACCAUAUGAAUAAGGAUCGGCUAACUCCGUGCCAGCAGCCGCGGUAAUACGGAGGAUCCGAGCGUUAUCCGGAUUUAUUGGGUUUAAAGGGUGCGUAGGUGGCGUGUUAAGUCAGGUGUGAAAGUUUGCGGCUCAACCGUAAAAUUGCCGUUGAAACUGGCAGUCUUGAGUACAGUAGAGGUGGGCGGAAUUCGUGGUGUAGCGGUGAAAUGCUUAGAUAUCACGAAGAACUCCGAUUGCGAAGGCAGCUCACUGGACUGCAACUGACACUGAGGCUCGAAAGUGUGGGUAUCAAACAGGAUUAGAUACCCCUGUAGUC
This 460-nucleotide ribosomal RNA is filed under the name uncultured bacterium. RNAcentral's name for it is "partial 16S ribosomal RNA". It matches the Rfam family "Bacterial small subunit ribosomal RNA", at positions 338 to 795 of the family's 1533-position model. The record is from RNAcentral.